CCUANGGGGGGCAGCAGUGGGGAAUAUUGCGCAAUGGGGGAAACCCUGACGCAGCAACGCCGCGUGAAUGAUGAAGGCCUUCGGGUUGUAAAGUUCUGUCUUCUGGGACGAUAAUGACGGUACCAGAGGAGGAAGCCACGGCUAACUACGUGCCAGCAGCCGCGGUAAUACGUAGGUGGCAAGCGUUGUCCGGAUUUACUGGGCGUAAAGGAUGCGUAGGCGGACAUUUAAGUCAGAUGUGAAAUACCCGAGCUUAACUUGGGUGCUGCAUUUGAAACUGGGUGUCUAGAGUGCAGGAGAGGUAAGUGGAAUUCCUAGUGUAGCGGUGAAAUGCGUAGAGAUUAGGAAGAACACCAGUGGCGAAGGCGACUUACUGGACUGUAACUGACGCUGAGGCAUGAAAGCGUGGGGAGCAAACAGGAUUAGAUACCCCUNUANUC
This 440-nucleotide ribosomal RNA is filed under the name uncultured bacterium. RNAcentral describes it as "bacterial SSU rRNA". It matches the Rfam family "Bacterial small subunit ribosomal RNA", at positions 338 to 795 of the family's 1533-position model. The record is from RNAcentral.